GACGAACGCUGGCGGCGUGCCUAAUACAUGCAAGUAGAACGCUGAAGGAGGAGCUUGCUUCUCUGGAUGAGUUGCGAACGGGUGAGUAACGCGUAGGUAACCUGCCUGGUAGCGGGGGAUAACUAUUGGAAACGAUAGCUAAUACCGCAUAAGAGUAGAUGUUGCAUGACAUUUGCUUAAAAGUUGCAAUUGCAUCACUACCAGAUGGACCUGCGUUGUAUUAGCUAGUUGGUGAGGUAACGGCUCACCAAGGCAACGAUACAUAGCCGACCUGAGAGGGUGAUCGGCCACACUGGGACUGAGACCCGGCCCCGACUCCUACGGGAGGCAGCCGUAGGGAAUCUUCGGCCAUGGACGGAAGUCUGACCGAGCAACGCCGCGUGAGUGAAGAAGGUUUUCGGAUCGUAAAGCUCUGUUGUUAGAGAAGAACGAGUGUGAGAGUGGAAAGUUCACAUUGUGACGGUAUCUUACCAGAAAGGGACGGCUAACUACGUG
RNAcentral lists this ribosomal RNA (495 nucleotides) under uncultured bacterium. RNAcentral describes it as "partial 16S ribosomal RNA". It matches the Rfam family "Bacterial small subunit ribosomal RNA", at positions 28 to 507 of the family's 1533-position model. The record is from RNAcentral.